Molecule: transfer RNA, 76 nt
Filed under: Thermoplasmatales archaeon
Lineage: Archaea; Methanobacteriati; Thermoplasmatota; Thermoplasmata; Thermoplasmatales
Description: tRNA-Val
Rfam family: tRNA
About the family: Transfer RNA (tRNA) molecules are approximately 80 nucleotides in length. Their secondary structure includes four short double-helical elements and three loops (D, anti-codon, and T loops).
Source: RNAcentral
GGACUCGUGGUCUAGGGGUUAUGACGUCGCCUUCACACGGCGAAGGUCGCCGGUUCAAAUCCGGCCGAGUCCACCA